This 497-nucleotide ribosomal RNA is filed under the name uncultured bacterium. RNAcentral's name for it is "partial 16S ribosomal RNA". It matches the Rfam family "Bacterial small subunit ribosomal RNA", at positions 28 to 507 of the family's 1533-position model. The record is from RNAcentral.
GAUGAACGCUGGCGGCGUGCCUAAUACAUGCAAGUCGAGCGAACAGAUAAGGAGCUUGCUCCUUUGACGUUAGCGGCGGACGGGUGAGUAACACGUGGGUAACCUAUCUAUAAGACUGGAAUAACUCCGGGAAACCGGGGCUAAUGCCGGAUAACAUGUUGAACCGCAUGGUUCUACAGUGAAAGGCGGCUUUGCUGUCACUUAUAGAUGGACCCGCGCCGUAUUAGCUAGUUGGUGAGGUAACGGCUCACCAAGGCAACGAUACGUAGCCGACCUGAGAGGGUGAUCGGCCACACUGGAACUGAGACACGGUCCAGACUCCUACGGGAGGCAGCAGUAGGGAAUCUUCCGCAAUGGGCGAAAGCCUGACGGAGCAACGCCGCGUGAGUGAUGAAGGUCUUCGGAUCGUAAAACUCUGUUAUUAGGGAAGAAUAAAUGCGUAAGUAACUGUGCGCGUCUUGACGGUACCUAAUCAGAAAGCCACGGCUAACUACGUG